Molecule: ribosomal RNA, 253 nt
Filed under: uncultured bacterium
Lineage: Bacteria
Description: partial 16S ribosomal RNA
Rfam family: Bacterial small subunit ribosomal RNA
Source: RNAcentral
GACGAACCGUCCUAACGUUGUUCGGAUUCACUGGGCUUAAAGGGCGCGUAGGCGGGCGCACACGCCCGGGGUGAAAUCUCUCGGCUCAACCGGGAGGCUGCCCCGGGGACGGCGCGCCUGGAGGGAGGCAGGGGCCCGCGGAACUUCCGGUGGAGCGGUGAAAUGCGUUGAUAUCGGAAGGAACGCCGGCGGCGAAAGCGGCGGGCUGGACCUCUUCUGACGCUGAGGCGCGAAAGCCAGGGGAGCGAACGGG